GGCGGCGUAGCUCAGUGGUAGAGCGCACGACUCAUAAUCGUGUGGUCGGUGGUUCGAUCCCACCCGCCGCCACCA
RNAcentral lists this transfer RNA (75 nucleotides) under Candidatus Dormiibacterota bacterium. RNAcentral describes it as "candidate division AD3 bacterium tRNA-Met". It matches the Rfam family "tRNA". Rfam says of the family: Transfer RNA (tRNA) molecules are approximately 80 nucleotides in length. Their secondary structure includes four short double-helical elements and three loops (D, anti-codon, and T loops). Further hydrogen bonds mediate the characteristic L-shaped molecular structure. tRNAs have two regions of fundamental functional importance: the anti-codon, which is responsible for specific mRNA codon recognition, and the 3' end, to which the tRNAs corresponding amino acid is attached (by aminoacyl-tRNA synthetases). tRNAs cope with the degeneracy of the genetic code in two manners: having more than one tRNA (with a specific anti-codon) for a particular amino acid; and 'wobble' base-pairing, i.e. permitting non-standard base-pairing at the 3rd anti-codon position. RNAcentral also lists the same sequence under 2 other names. The record is from RNAcentral. Lineage: Bacteria; Bacillati; Candidatus Dormiibacterota.